Stegostoma tigrinum is the source of this 641-nucleotide long non-coding RNA. RefSeq lists it as uncharacterized. The record is from RefSeq and is a predicted model, not a curated record. Lineage: Eukaryota; Metazoa; Chordata; Chondrichthyes; Orectolobiformes; Stegostomatidae. The transcript has 3 exons.
UACACACUCUCUCAGCUUCCUCCACAGAAACCCUGAGUAGCCUCUUGUCCUGAUACAACAAUUUGGAGUCAGGGCACUGAGUUCAAAAGUUGUCCAAAGAAGAUUCAACUUUGGAGAAAACUAUUUAAAUCAUGCUGGAAACAAACACCAGAGGGACUUGUGGAUACCAGAAGACCGCCAACCCUACUUUAAAAGGCUAAAGCAGAGUUGUCAAUGCCAGUGACGGAGAGCGUUCUGAGUGAGCAGCAAUCUUGAAGUAAUACGACUGAGUCGGAAAAAGUUUGCUUCAUCAUUCAAGCAACACGGAGGACAACUAGAGGCAUUCAGCAUCAAGAAGUAUGUUGCCAGGCCCAGAAAGCCAGGACACUGGAUCCAGCACUUAUGUAAACAUUUGCAUGAGUUUAAAGCUCUACAUGGGUUAGCAGAGAAUAAUUUAUCUGCGUAGGACAGCCAGGAGUUUAAGGGUCCAUCAGAUAAGGAAAUGACAAGGUCUACAACUAUGUUAUCCUCUGUGAAGAAUAUCCAGCAGAUAGAAGAUCUUCCAGUGGAGAAAUGGCCCAUGUGUCUGAAUUCAAGUCCAGCAGUCCCCAAGCAGAAGAUUCUUCCAAUUCAAAGAGAGCACAUGCACAGAAAAUCAUGAA